This is a small nuclear RNA of Phyllostomus hastatus (greater spear-nosed bat), 163 nucleotides long. RefSeq annotates it as U1 spliceosomal RNA. The transcript has a single exon. The record is from RefSeq and is a predicted model, not a curated record. Lineage: Eukaryota; Metazoa; Chordata; Mammalia; Chiroptera; Phyllostomidae.
AUACUACCUGGUGGGGGAGACACCGAGAUCACGAAGGAGGUUUCCCCGGGGCGAGGCUCACGCACUGCGCUCCGGUGGUGCUGACCCCUGCGAUUUCCCCAAACGUGGGCGGCUCAGCUGCGUGAUUUGUGGUAGUGGCGGACUGUGUGUGCCCUCUCCCCUG